AUCACCAUGGUGACUGGCGUGGGAGGGGCUUGACUAGGAGAGCCAGCAGGGCAAGAACUAUCACUCCUCUCCCACCCUCAGACUCACUUGCCGGUGACCAAGUCUGGCUCACAACAUCAGACAUUUCUUUCCUUUAGGAGGAUUUAGAUUUUAGAGGUCCUAAUUCAUACAAUAGAAUCUGGCAGUGGUAAACUUAACCAUAUGGGGAAUGGAUCAGAAGAGUAUGAAGUAACCCAGCAAAAGGCUGGCAUCUUGCAAAGGUGGAUGGAGCCAAGACUCUUCUGAGAUUUCAUAAGAUACCUCACAGAAAGCCACUCUACGCUGAGAGGGAUGAAACGAAGGUCAGCCUCUAUGCUGGUUUCCCAGAGUGUCAAGUAUCUUCCAGCACCUUGAAAGGUGAUUUUCUAAAAGCAGAUCAAACAGUUUUGACAUUUGCUACGGAGCCAUUUAAAGUUCUACUACAGGCUCACCAUUGGCCACGGCAGCUCAACUGGCCGCAGAUAAAGGUUGAAGCAGCACGUCUCGCCACAGACAUGAGGAGCCGGCUCGUGGGAGCCGCAUCCCGGAGAGAAACACAGUCCACAAAAGUUAAUCUGCUGCUUUGUCUUGGCCGACAAUUUAUUCUUUCAUGAAAGCCAGCCCAUAAUCCCCAAUUGAAUUCUGCACACACAUUUUUUUAAUUUGCUGGAAUUUGCAAAAACACAUCAGUGGCUCUGCAGCCUUUGGAUUUU
Long non-coding RNA from Pan troglodytes (chimpanzee), 731 nucleotides. RefSeq lists it as uncharacterized. The record is from RefSeq and is a predicted model, not a curated record. The transcript is spliced from 3 exons. Lineage: Eukaryota; Metazoa; Chordata; Mammalia; Primates; Hominidae.